AAGCUCCAGCGGUUGGGAACUCUCCAUUACCAAAGGGCAGGAGGGGCAGCCCCGGUUCAAAGUAUUUCUUGUUCACAGACAGCAGCCGCAGCGGGCGAGUGAGGUUACACAGAGAGCCAGCAAGAUGAAGCUGCUGUGUGCGAUCUUUCCUGAGUUUAGCUGCAAGGAUCUGGCAGAGCAAAUUGCUUUCUUCCAAAAUCCAGUGGAGGAGGAGGAGUGAAGGGGUUUUCUUGCAAUGGAAACCACCACUUGCCUUUCCUUCUUUCUGUGCUCCUGGCCCCUGGAGAUCUGGCAGAGCAAUGGCCUGGGCCUGGGCCAGCAGAGCAGUCAUGCCUGGCUUCCUCCCCUGUGCCUGUGAAGGAAGAAGGCUCUGUAAGCAGAAAAGGAUUUGUGUGUGACCUCGACCUCAUCUUAGAGCUGCAGUGGUCUACCUGUUUGCCCUGAGGAUGUGCGAAUAACACCGGAACCGGGGAAGGACGCUCCAGGAAGAGCAGCGGUCCUCAGUGGUCCCUGUGACAAUUCAUACAGAGCCUUGGCCAGCUUUAGUAAUGACGUUUUGCAGUAGCAGUAUAUAGAUGCAAAUGUAUACAUGCCCUCCUAGUGUAUCCAUAGUGCCAAACACUUUGCCACCAGCAUCUUUGCUGGCAGUCUUGGAUGCGGGCUGGAUGUUGCCAACACACAACUGUAACCAGGUUUGCAGGAGUCAACGUGUUGUGGUCUGGUGCUGGAAUGUGAAUAGCCUGGCAUGUUACAUAUUUGGCAUGCGUCAUGUAGGACAGCUUCUCUCUAGAACUCUCGUUGGAGUGGAUAAGCAGGUCAUCCUGACUGUGCUGGAGCAAGCUCCAAUUGAAGCUAUCUGUUUUUGGCUCUCUGAAUGCAUGAAGGUUUUCAUAGCGUGCGGACUAAUGCAACUAUGGUUCCCUACAACCAGAAUGUCCUACUGCGCUAACCCUCGACUUGAUUUCUCUUCCUCAGAAUUGGAUUGAUCUUUCAUGCUACUUCCCCUUCCUGUAAACAAAGAUGAUCCAGUCACUUGAGAAAACUAGAAGAGUAGAAGCUACUACACGCAGGAGAGAAAUACAAAUUCAGUGCUGCUAUCUGGAAUACUGUAACCAUCCUCAUUUCUAGCAAUGCGUAUGUCUAUCAACACUAGCCAAUCCUACUUUUGCAGAAGCAUUCUCUGAAGCCCUCCAGGACAACGUUAUUCUACUUUACACCUACUGU
Molecule: long non-coding RNA, 1224 nt
Organism: Struthio camelus australis
Lineage: Eukaryota; Metazoa; Chordata; Aves; Struthioniformes; Struthionidae
Source: RefSeq, a predicted model, not a curated record